This 22-nucleotide microRNA is filed under the name Apis mellifera (honey bee). Its description in RNAcentral is "ame-miR-6066 (Mir6066)". Lineage: Eukaryota; Metazoa; Arthropoda; Insecta; Hymenoptera; Apidae. The record is from RNAcentral.
GAGGCCUCGUGACCACGGGGAC